CAAGCAUGCAUAAAUCCAGGAAGUCAGAUUCCUCAAGCUUGUUGCUUAUCGUUGCCAAAUUGCCAACAUAAAACAGAAUGGCAAAUGGGUUCUUUAGAUGUUUUGAAUGCAAUAAGGACGCGCACGAGAUUACAGUAAUGGGAUCUUGAAGAGAAUAAUAUGUUCAUUCUAUACUGCAGCAGAAAGCUCUCCCCACUGGCUGUGUGUGUGGGUCUGCUAUUGGAGACGUGCAUAGCCCAGGCAUUUCAGACACUUCCAUGGAGCAUACCGGACAUCCUGCCGUUCCAGUGACCUGUUUCAGGCCGGUCCUAAAGAACACACUGUUACAAUGGCGCCUAUUAUACCCGGGACCAGAGAGCGGAGGACCUGAGCCCUAGGACCAUGCCUCAGGACUACCUGGCAUGAUGACUCCUUGCUGUCCCAAGUCCACCUGGCCGUGCUGCUGCUCCAGUUUCAACUGUUCUGCCUGUGGCUAUGGAACCCUGACCCGUUCACCGGACGUGCUACCUGUCCCAGACCUGCUGUUUUCAACUCUUUGAAAAGCGAACUGACAUUUACUCCUGAAGUGCUGACUUGCUGCACACUCGACAACUACUGUGAUUAUUAUUAUUUGACCAUGCUGGUCAUUUAUGAACAUUUUAACAUCUUGGCCAUGUUCUGUUAUAAUCUCCACCCGGCAUAGCCAGAAGAGGACUGGCCACCCCUCAUAGCCUGGUUCCUCUCUAGGUUUCUUCCUAGGUUUUGGCCUUUCUAGGGAGGUUUUCCUAGCCAUGCUUCUACACCUGCAUUGCUUGCUGUUUGGGGUUUUAGGCUGGGUUUCUGUACAGCACUUUGAGAUAUCAGCUGAUGUAAGAAGGGCUAUAUAAAUACAUUUGAUUUGAUUUGAAGCACACAUGCUGAAAGUGUUCCAGCAAGCGUGUAGUGAGUGCAGCAUUAUUCAACCUGGUGUAGUGGUAGAUCAUGAGCCUGGAUAAUCAGUUUAGUAUAACAAGAAUCACAUCAGAGCUAUUAGAAUGUUGAGACCAGUGCAUAAAUGUGCUGUUAAAGGGAAACAACAUUUGAGUCAUUGGGACAAAAGAUGUCAUGAAGAAUAGAGAAUUUGCGGUUGUAAUUCUCUAUCUCCGUGAAGGAGAUGAAGAAGAGCUCAGUGUAAGCUCAUGAGGAUAGUGCCAGCCAGGUCCAGGGCUCAGAGAGUAAAAGUCAGACAGGAUCACUGAAGGAGGGCUGACUGUUCUGUGCCAAAGCUGGGCUGUCAACUCUCAAUCAGCUUUUCGAAACCCUCUGGACAAGUUAACCAAGGUUUCAGACAGCACAUCUGUUGACACAAUAAAGGUCAUAUGUGCUUCUAAUCACACCAUAUUUGAUUGCCAGUAAUGUAAGUGUUCAUCAACAAUUGUUUGAUGUUUUUAGUUUUGUGUUCAUCAUAUUUCUGAAUAAAACCAAACUUCAAGGAUA
Molecule: long non-coding RNA, 1455 nt
Organism: Oncorhynchus kisutch (coho salmon)
Lineage: Eukaryota; Metazoa; Chordata; Actinopteri; Salmoniformes; Salmonidae
Exons: 3
Source: RefSeq, a predicted model, not a curated record